AUUGAACGCUGGCGGCAUGCUUUACACAUGCAAGUCGAACGGCCGCGCGGGCUUCGGUCUGGCGGCGAGUGGCGAACGGGGGAGUAAUGCAUCGGAACGUGCCCCGUCGGGGGGGAUUGCCCGCCGAAAGCCGGAUUAAUACCGCAUACGACCUGUGGGGGCAAGAGGGGGGCCCGAAGGCCUCGCGCUAUUGGGGCGUGUGAUGUCGGAUUUACUAGUUGGUGGGUUGAAGGCCUACGAAGGCGACGAGCCGUAGCGGGUCUGAGAGGCCGACCAGACACACUGGGACUGAGACAGGGCACAGACUCCUACGGGAGGCAGCAGUGGGGAAUUUUAGGCAAUGGGGGCAACCCUGAUCCAGCCAUGCCGCGUGCGGGAAGAAGGCCUUCGGGUUGUAAACCGCUUUUGUUCGGGAAGAAAUCCUCUGGGCUAAUACCCCGGGGGGAUGACGGUACCGGAAGAAUAAGCACCGGCUAACUACGUG
Molecule: ribosomal RNA, 484 nt
Filed under: uncultured bacterium
Lineage: Bacteria
Description: partial 16S ribosomal RNA
Rfam family: Bacterial small subunit ribosomal RNA
Source: RNAcentral